CUAUCUUGAGGCAAUAUAGAGAACCACAGUUGAUCUUUAUUAAACCAAGCGUUGCAACCGACCUCUGCUUCCACCGACUUCAACCUUCGUCUCAUCGACUGUAUCUCUUUCUCUUCUACUGUUACACCCAAAUCGCCGAUCCCAAUCGUGCCACCAUCUUUCUACAGCCGUAUAAGCGAGAUUGAGAGAGUUCGGUUCGUUGCUUUUGAUCUGUGGAUUUGGAAUUAUUUUCUUUGUUUCUGGUCAUUAUCUCCUCUAAUUUCAGACUGAUCUGACGAAUCUCGGUGAUUGGUUUUUGUUUUGAAGAAGGUGAAAACUAAUCUGGCCAAUUCGGAUUUGAGAUUCGAUAUGUGGAUAUAAGGGCUAUCCUCAGAAAAUCAAGUUUGACAUCAUCAGGGAGAGUUAUGUACUGGAAACAAGGGUUCCUACUUGCCCAUCUUUCUUGCUUUCUUUGAUGUUUAUUACAAUCAUAAAGAAGCUAGCUUUGUAAUUCAUAUGUGACUUAGAUUGCUGCUUUGUUUGGCCAUUUGAGUUAUUCCAAAGAACACUUCUUAUGGUUUAUUGUUUGGAUUUGGUUUCUUUCUAUGGGCUGGGAACAAAUAGGAGGCGUUUGAUUGUUAGAGCUUUGAAUUUUUGAUGUAAUGUUUUCCAUUUUGAUUGUAGGUCGUUGAAAUAGCAAAAAGAAGGGGAGGGAUCAAAGAUUGUGGUCGACUUCCGGAGGAAGUGUGUGCUUAAUCUAGAAGAUGUACAUAUUGAAGGAGCGGGGAUUUGCUUAAGAAUCAUAAGUAGCUGUGUCUUUGUUCAGGGGAAAAAAAAAAAAAAAACUCCAGAAGGCUCCGUCCCAAUCUGGAGCUGCUCUCAACCGAUAUCAAUCUUCCCAAUCUAUAUAAGCACCAAACGACGGCCUACUCCAUUCCAGAAAGCUCCGUCCCAAUCUGAAACUGCUCUCAGCCGACAGCAACCUCCCGACUCUCAACCGACAUCCGAAGAGCUUCUUUGCUCCACAGAGAUAGAGAGAAAGAGAGAUGGGAAGAUAUCUCCGCCCUUAUUCGAAGAAUCUGGUGCUUCACCUUGGUGGAUACGACAGUGUCAAGAUUGAUUCAUGCUUAAUCCGUUUUCUUUAUGGGUUGUUAAUAAUGCGAUUGUUGGUUUAAAUAAAUUGCAUGUUCUUCUCUGGCAAGGAUUGAGGUUGGCUACCUGCAUCCAGGACAGUGGUGUCAAAGAAAUCAAGCCCAAGAGGAGUACAAUCAUGGGUAAAACUAAGAAAGGUUAUCAAGGAUGAAGUCGUUGGGGGUGGAGAUUAGUCCUGAUGAGAUAGCCCAUAGGUGGAUGAGAAAGUCUUCAUUUUCUUUUGAUGAACUGUAAUUGGAAAGGAGAAUUCACAGAUUGGAAUCAGCAGUUGAGACAAGUGCAAAGUUGCUGAAGGGAGAGGGGUUUGGGCUUGGUUUUUGUGGAGAAUUCACAGAUUGGAAUGAGCAGUUGAGACAAGUGCAAAGAUGCGGAAGGGUGAGAGGUUUGGGCUUUGUUUUUGCGGUAAUAAAAUCAUUUUCUAGACUAUUGUUCUCAUGAAUCGAGCGAAGAACCAAUCCAUCAACAAUAGUAAAUCCCGCAGCAAAGCGCGGGAAAUCUUGCUAGUUUGAUAAAAUACGGGCUUUUAAAAGGUUUUUGCAGGUUUGAAGAUUUUGUUUGACUUGAAGAAGGUUGGUCGUCUGCUAAUCUUUGUUUUAAGAUUCCACCAUAUCCGAUGUCGGACGCAUCUGUUUCGACAAUCUUAAAGGACUCUGGGUCUCGUAGCCCUAGACAUGGUUGGUUUGAGUCAGUUCUAAGCAUGACUUUUGAGACGAGAAAUCAGUAACAUCCUCGUAGCAGGAUUUACUGGCCAAUUGAAAGGAUGGUGGGAUAAUUAUCUCACAUCUGAUCAACGCAAUCAAAUUUUAAGCAGUGUCAAAAUAGAACAAACAACUGGUGCAAUGAUUGUUGACCAGCAAAAUCUGCCUGUAACACAUUCAAGAACCUUUUUGCACCUAUCUAGUCUUUUCUUAAUCAUUGAAAUAA
This is a long non-coding RNA of Rosa chinensis, 2055 nucleotides long. RefSeq lists it as uncharacterized. Lineage: Eukaryota; Viridiplantae; Streptophyta; Magnoliopsida; Rosales; Rosaceae. The record is from RefSeq and is a predicted model, not a curated record. The transcript is spliced from 11 exons.